This 253-nucleotide ribosomal RNA is filed under the name uncultured bacterium. RNAcentral's name for it is "partial 16S ribosomal RNA". It matches the Rfam family "Bacterial small subunit ribosomal RNA", at positions 524 to 776 of the family's 1533-position model. The record is from RNAcentral.
UACGGAGGGUGCGAACGUUAAUCGGAAUUACUGGGCGUAAAGCGCGCGUAGGCGGUUCGGCAAGUGGGAUGUGAAAGCCCCGGGCUUAACCUGGGAAUUGCGUUCCAAACUACCGGGCUAGAGUAUGGUAGAGGGAGGUAUAAUUUCCUGUGCAGCGGUGAAAUGUGUAGAUAUAGGAAGGAAUACCGGUGGCGAAGGCGGCCUCCUGGACCAAUACUGACGCUGAGGUGCGAAAGCGUGGGGAGCAAACAGG